Non-coding RNA from Oncorhynchus mykiss (rainbow trout), 1397 nucleotides. The record is from RefSeq and is a predicted model, not a curated record. Lineage: Eukaryota; Metazoa; Chordata; Actinopteri; Salmoniformes; Salmonidae.
GGUUAGGAGUACUAUAGAGGAAGGGUUAAGGUUAGGAGUACUAUAGAGGAAGGGUUAAGGUUAGGAGUACUAUAGAGGAAGGGUUAAGGUUAGGAGUACUAUAGAGGAAGGGUUAAGGUUAGGAGUACUAUAGAGGAAGGGUUAAGGUUAGGACUACUAUAGAGGAAGGUUAGGAGUACUAUAGAGGAAGGGUUAAGGUUAGGAGUACUAUAGAGGAAGGGUUAAGGUUAGGAGUACUAUAGAGGAAGGGUUAAGGUUAGGAGUACUAUAGAGGAAGGGUUAAGGUUAGGAGUACUAUAGAGGAAGGGUUAAGGUUAGGAGUACUAUAGAGGAAGGGUUAAGGUUAGGAGUACUAUAGAGGAAGGGUUAAGGUUAGGACUACUAUAGAGGAAGGUUAGGAGUACUAUAGAGGAAGGGUUAAGGUUAGGAGUACUAUAGAGGAAGGGUUAAGGUUAGGAGUACUAUAGAGGAAGGGUUAAGGUUAGGAGUACUAUAGAGGAAGGGUUAAGGUUAGGAGUACUAUAGAGGAAGGGUUAAGGUUAGGAGUACUAUAGAGGAAGGGUUAAGGUUAGGAGUACUAUAGAGGAAGGGUUAAGGUUAGGAGUACUAUAGAGGAAGGGUUAAGGUUAGGAGUACUAUAGAGGAAGGUUAGGAGUACUAUAGAGGAAGGUUAGGAGUACUAUAGAGGAAGAGAUGUUGUGUGUGUGUGUGUGUGUGUGUGUGUGUGUGUGUGUGUGUCCCAGCUACUCAAUGCUCUAGUUCUACUGGUAGCGUUAAGAGGCCCAUUUUUUUUUAUUUUAUAGCUUCUACAGAACACCAGGACAGGAGGUAAAAAUAGGAGAGAGAGGGAGGAAGGGAAGAUGUUUGAGGACAUGGAGGAGUGUGUAUCUGAGGGAGAGAAAGAGAGAGAGAAAGGACAUUUGUGUGUGUUGAUUAGUGUGUGUGUGUGUGUGUCUUGCUGCGGUAGAGAGGAGGGAGGAGAAGAUGGAUGAGGGAAGGAGGAAGGGACAGUUUUUCAGGGUCGGAGUUGACAGAUGAGGCUGUCAAGUUUUAGUGUGUGUGUGUGUUUAUAUAUGUGUGUGUGUGUGUUUGAAAGCUCUAGAGACCUCCCUAGCAGUUAGGUCAGCUAUCCCAGAGGGCCGAGGGAGAGAAACAGGUUUUUACCUGCAGAGUCUGUUCUGUACCUGAACAGGUGAACCAAGAGGACACCUUAGUCCCUUUUAAGAACCACUACCAGACCUCUGUACUGGGUUAAUACCAGACCUCUGUACUGGGUCAGUACCAGACCUCUGUACUGGGUCAAUACCAGACCUCUGUACUGGGUUAAUACCAGACCUCUGUACCUGAACAGGUGAAACAAGAGGACACCUUUGUCCCUUUUAAGAACCACUACCAGA